RNAcentral lists this non-coding RNA (134 nucleotides) under Pteridomonas danica. The record is from RNAcentral. Lineage: Eukaryota; Dictyochophyceae; Pedinellales.
ACACAGUACUCUCCCAGAUUUUCCAAAGUAUGUGAAACAUUAUAUUGGUUCAUUCAUCGCUCACCUCAUACUCUCUCCAUUCUCCAGAUGGGAGCAUCGAAUCCUUACACAAAAUAUGAAUCAACCGUAAAAAA